Molecule: microRNA precursor, 100 nt
Filed under: Marmota monax (woodchuck)
Lineage: Eukaryota; Metazoa; Chordata; Mammalia; Rodentia; Sciuridae
Source: RNAcentral
AGAGGGAUAGCUGGGUCAAAUGGUUCCAUUCCUAGUUUUCCGAGAAAUCUCCAUACUGCUUUCCAUAUUGGCUGCACCGAUUUGCAGUCCCACCAGCAAU